RNAcentral lists this ribosomal RNA (497 nucleotides) under uncultured bacterium. RNAcentral describes it as "partial 16S ribosomal RNA". It matches the Rfam family "Bacterial small subunit ribosomal RNA", at positions 28 to 507 of the family's 1533-position model. The record is from RNAcentral.
GAUGAACGCUGGCGGCGUGCCUAAUACAUGUAAGUCGAGCGAACAGACGAGGAGCUUGCUCCUCUGACGUUAGCGGCGGACGGGUGAGUAACACGUGGAUAACCUACCUAUAAGACUGGGAUAACUUCGGGAAACCGGAGCUAAUACCGGAUAAUAUAUUGAACCGCAUGGUUCAAUAGUGAAAGACGGUUUUGCUGUCACUUAUAGAUGGAUCCGCGCCGCAUUAGCUAGUUGGUAAGGUAACGGCUUACCAAGGCGGCGAUGCGUAGCCGACCUGAGAGGGUGAUCGGCCACACUGGAACUGAGACACGGUCCAGACUCCUACGGGAGGCAGCAGUAGGGAAUCUUCCGCAAUGGGCGAAAGCCUGACGGAGCAACGCCGCGUGAGUGAUGAAGGUCUUCGGAUCGUAAAACUCUGUUAUUAGGGAAGAACAAAUGUGUAAGUAACUAUGCACGUCUUGACGGUACCUAAUCAGAAAGCCACGGCUAACUACGUG